RNAcentral lists this long non-coding RNA (1360 nucleotides) under Homo sapiens (human). Its description in RNAcentral is "PREDICTED lncRNA (TCONS_00163771)". The record is from RNAcentral. Lineage: Eukaryota; Metazoa; Chordata; Mammalia; Primates; Hominidae.
GGCACUUGCAACUUUAUUGCGCCAGCAAGAACAUGCAUACAGCCCAGUCUAACGUACAGGAUCAAAAAGAGACCUUAUUUCGGCUGGCAAUUACCUUACCCGCUUGUUCAUUAUCUGACUCCUGCACUCCUCCCAAGUGUUCAAUGUUAACCAGAUGGCAAAGUUAACCAGACAGAGGAAAUCCACAUAAUUACUCUAGAUGAAGCCCCCUAACUGCGGAUUAGAAGGAAAAGAGAUGAAGGGUGCUGCACUAAUAAUAACAACCAUUUUCAACCAAGGCAGGAUUCUGGGCCUAGAAUCUUCAGUGACAAAUUACCAGGAGAGGAGGAGGGAAAUGAAGAGCUGGAGGCCUAGGGAGAUGGUGUGAGGAGAGGAGACUGUGCCUUUCCACUUCUUAAUAAUUAAUGUUCUCCUGCUGCUCUGAGUCUGCAUCACCAGUGAUUCAGUUUGAGUCAGACAUCCAACAACAACUGAGCAAAAGAAUCAUCUCAGAUCCAAGCAAUGGUGACGCGCAGAUAGAAGAGACUGAGGCCAACGACCAAAGCAAAGGACAGCAGAACUGACUGACACAGCUCAGAAAAUAUCCAAAGCUCUGUAUGCUCUGGAAAGGAAGACAAGAAAUGCUAAAGACUCUGGAUAUUGCUCUGUUUCUAUAAGGUCCCACCCAUAUACCAUCUCUUCUUUUGGAUUUCCUUUGGCAGGGUUCCCUUGUAUGGAAGUUCUCAGGAGAACAACACUCUCAGAGUCCCACUGUCUCAAAGAAUUCUUAAUGGACAGCUAUACUUGGCCCCAAGGUUUCAACCUCACACUGAAGAAAGUGACAUAAGAAAACACAAGUCCCAGUGCUAUCAGGGGCUAUCUGGAAAAGCUGCUUAAACAGCAAGUGAAAGAAGGCUCUCCCCUACCCCGUUCUAGUUAUAAACAUCACAUCUCUUAACAUACGGCCAAGAUGAUGAAGCUGAUGGAGUACGAUGGUGUUCAAACUUAGAUAAGCUAAUUCAAUAGACAACUAGAAAUGCCAAUGAGUCUAUCGUCCUAUGUAAGAUACACAUACCACAUGCUGUCAACCCAUCUGAGACACUCAGCUUUCAAAUGACAGUUCUUCUCUGAAGCUAACCUAGCCAAAAGAGUGAAAUACACUAUCUGUUAAGCUGUGUCAGUAGCUAAGUCUGUGUGUCUAAAUUAAAAACAUACUCACCCUGAAGUUAUUUGAAGGAUCCUUGAGACUCUUUUGGAUUGCUGCUUGGAGAACAUUCCUGUAACUUGUCCCUGCUCCUUGAACUAUAAAAGCAGAAGGGAGGUACUGAGUUAAAACUUACAAAUUAUUAUCAAAUAAAUCUUCAAUAGUGGUUCAGUCCAA